CUGAGAAUUUACCUUGGACGUUUCAGUAGAGUACAGCAGAUUUAUUCUCCUGGCCUCUAUGACUCUGGUAUACCUCUCCAGUAGACCUUCAGUGAGUACUUCACAUGGUCUUGGUCAUCGGCCACAGAGGGUCCCAGUUUUCAGCGUAGCCAUGACUUCAUCUCUCAGAGAGGAUCUUGCUUUCUGCACACUGAUUGGUCGUAUACAGUAUCCACUGGCAACACACGCACCUUGAGUGGGAACAUGAAAUCCUGUUCAAAAAGACUUAUCGUAGAUGAAUGACCUCUUUUUAAGAAACUGGAGGUUGUUUUGGUGAAAACAUGUUUU
Long non-coding RNA from Oreochromis niloticus (Nile tilapia), 327 nucleotides. RefSeq lists it as uncharacterized. The transcript has 3 exons. The record is from RefSeq and is a predicted model, not a curated record. NCBI's taxonomy places the organism in Eukaryota, Metazoa, Chordata, Actinopteri, Cichliformes, Cichlidae.